ACAGGGAGGACAAGGGCUGGGACCCAGGAGACCUGGCUCCUUGAUCCCUGUGGCAUCCAACCCCAGAUUCUGAUCCCAGCAAAGGACUUUUUGCAUCCCAAACUGUGCCCUAGUUUUACCCUGUGACUUGUGACCUCUGACCUUCAUUCCUGACUUAUCUUUCAGAUUUCAUUGAUAACCCUAGACCCAAUCCAAGAACCCCAACCUCUUAUCUAAACUGAUCCCUGAACUUUGACCUCCAGACUACUUUUGGCAUCCCCACCUUGCCCCAACCCAGUUGGUACCUUGGAAAGCAGUGGGCAGCCGACAGUACCCACUGCUCAGACACGAGAGAACCGCCACACACGACUUUGCCUCCUAUCCAAUCCAGCCCUUAUAAGUCUGAAGACCUUUAUAAACAAGAAAUCUGGCCAGGUGACACCCCCUUAAAUCCUUCCCUGACUUCACACUGCCCUUAAGAUAUAUCCCAGACCUCCCAUGACAGUGCCAUCCACCUGGACACUUCCUGUCAUAGACUUGGAAGCACUUAUUCACCUAUGGAACUUCGCUCUUCAAGGUCACUACCUAGGAUUCCUUUCCUCAGCCCUACUUUGCUCGGCAAAUUUCCAUUUGCCUAUGGCAGCCCCUCCUUGGCCUGCCCUGACCUGCUGCCUGAGUCAGGCGGUGCACAGAGCUCCCAGGGCUGCUUCCCUGAUACUGCCCCGUCACCACUGCUCCCUGUGCGUGCUUCACCACACAACCCGGCACUCCCACGGCCCCAGUGCCCAAAGAUGGAGCUGUGGAUGCGGCUAGUGAAGAAAGGAACAGAACAACUGGGCUCCCACCGCCUGAAGGCCACCCUACCCUCACUGAGGCUAGCAGUUUGGAACAAGACCCAGCUGCCCUUCACAAAGUCACCUUCCCAGGAGCAGAGAAAACUGCCCAGCCAGGCUCCUCCUCUCGUAAUAAUGACAAUAGCUGCUAUUUAGGAACUUUAAACAACGUGAGGCCCCGAAGGGGCUUUCACUUCCUUUAUCUUCAGGACUGCUCACACAGCCCCAGGAGAUAAACUCAAUCAGCUUCAUUUAGAGCUGAGCAGUGAGCCAAGCACACAGCAGUAAGUGGUGAAGCCGGGGCUCAGAGCUGGUGACCUGCCUUUGAAGGAAGGAGACCUUUGGUUUGUUUCCACAAAACAACUCCGGCUCUUACAGGCUGUGCCACUCACUGGCUGUGCGCCUUCGGGCACAUCACUUCUCUGCACUUCGGUUUCUUUAUCUGUAGAACUCGGGCUACCAUCCCCGUCUCACAGAGCUAUUGUGGGACUUAAGACAUUAAGGUGCGUGAGACAGCCUGGCAGAGAGAGGUCAGGCACUCAUUAAACACGCCAUGGGAAUCUGA
Molecule: long non-coding RNA, 1377 nt
Organism: Myotis brandtii (Brandt's bat)
Lineage: Eukaryota; Metazoa; Chordata; Mammalia; Chiroptera; Vespertilionidae
Exons: 2
Source: RefSeq, a predicted model, not a curated record